CAGGCAGUGGCUAGCCGUUGCACGCCACGCAUCGACGGUGCCAAUGGAGGCAUUUGGAAGCCGCUUUGCAAGGAAUUUUGCCUCGGAUGUGGAUUUGGCUCUUGCAUGGUACUCUCGGCAGUAUGGAAUUGCUCUAACACAUUAAAAAUCCGUCGCCAAGAUGAAAUUGUUUACAGCAUUCAGACAUCUAGGGUCGUGAGUACAGUUAGCCGCCACGUCGCUUGCCACCACUACUUCGCCACUGCUCCGCCAACUUCAUGCAUACAGACAUGCAUCAGAGCACGGACUAGUUAAUUCGUUUCCUCGAAAACGUAGCAAAACAGGAAACUUGGUGAAUAUUUUCGUAUGGAAAACUUCUGACGGAGACAGAAGGCAGUCAACUUUUGCAGUUUUGGGGCUUUCCAUUCAACCGGAGGAAAUCGGAGAUUCGGAUAGAACAUCCGGCCAGCCAGCACUUGUAUUCACCUUCCAGUGAGAACGAACUACCUGUAUGAGGGGCAGGAACAUCAGGAAUCCCAGGCGGGGCCGUUUACCAGGAUGGAUUAGCAGAAGAGAACAACCGAUGAGCAGUGAG
Schistocerca gregaria is the source of this 574-nucleotide long non-coding RNA. RefSeq lists it as uncharacterized. The transcript has 3 exons. NCBI's taxonomy places the organism in Eukaryota, Metazoa, Arthropoda, Insecta, Orthoptera, Acrididae. The record is from RefSeq and is a predicted model, not a curated record.